AUGCCUGUUUUGAAACAUAACUUGCCUGUUGAGAUUCUUGGGGACCCUCCUCCACCCAAGGGUGAUCCCGUGUUUGAGCUUAAAAAAUUACCCGACACUCUGAAAUAUGCUUAUCUUGAUGAAAAUAAGAUAUAUCAUGUUAUUAUUAGUGCUAACCUUUCAGAGAAUGAAGAAAAGAAAUUAUUGAAAACUCUGAAGAAGCACCGUGCUGCUAUUGGAUAUACUCUUGAUGAUCUUAAGGGCAUUAGUCCCACUCUAUGUCAGCAUAAAAUUAAUAUGGAGCCUGAUGCUAAACCAGUUGUUGAUCACCAACGACGGUUAAAUCCUGAGAUGAAAGAAGUGGUAAGAAAUGAAAUACUAAAGCUUCUGGAGGCAGGUAUAAUUUAUCCUAUUGCUGAUAGUAGAUGGGUAAGUCCUGUUCAUUGUGUCCUUAAGAAGGGAGGUAUUACUGUUGUUCCUAAUGAAAAGAAUGAAUUGAUUCCACGAACAAUUGUUACAGGUUAUAGAAUGGUUAUUGAUUUUAGAAAGUCGAAUAAAGCUACUAGGAAAGAUCAUUAUACUCUACCUUUUAUUGAUCAAAUGCUAGAAAGACUACCAAAACAUAUACACCUUUGCUUUCUAGAUGGUUAUUCUGGUUUCUCUCAAAUACUUGUGUCAAAAGAGGAUCAAGAAAACACUACUUUUACUUGCCCUUUUGGUAAUUUUGCUUAUAGACGUAUGCCUUUUGGUUUAUGCAAUGCUCCUGCUAUCUUUCAAAGAUGUAUGACUGAUAUAUUCUCUGACUUUUGUGAAAAGAUUGUCGAGGUUUUCAUGGAUGAUUUCUCCCUUUACGAAACUUCUUUUGAUGAUUGCUUAAGCAACCUUGAUCGAGUUUUGCAGAGAUGUGAAUAA
This 891-nucleotide ribosomal RNA is filed under the name Triticum aestivum (bread wheat). RNAcentral's name for it is "partial small subunit ribosomal RNA". Lineage: Eukaryota; Viridiplantae; Streptophyta; Magnoliopsida; Poales; Poaceae. The record is from RNAcentral.